AGUUGCUGGGGGCUGACAUCCUCUUAAACAGGCUGUAAAUCCUCUCGCAGUAAGAAAGACGUACUGCCAAAGUUGCUGUUCCUCUAGAGGCGGAGAAGGUGGUGGUGUUGAGGGGGAACGCUUUCGCUCGGUCUUCCCCAUCAUGUCCACUCACUCUAAAUGACAGUUGUUUCGGCCAGACUACUGGCUGAUGCCUGAGGGCGGGCUACGCUCGUCACUUCUAAGCUUUUGAUUGGAUCUUGGCGUUGUACAGAGACGGGUCUGAUUGGUGGAAGUUUUCAUUGGGCUCGUACUUUCACCCAAUCAGCAUGCAGAAGCUGGCAGUCUGAACAUCGCCAGUGCGGUCCACGUGGCUCUCCAUGAGGUCUACGCCAUCUUUAGACAAACCCGUCAGCAGGAUGCCCUCCAGGUUGCCCGCCUCCUUCAUCUCAUUGUCCCGCAGCACUCACCCUUCUCAGCGGUGGCUCCCUUGUUGAGGAUCUGGAUGGCCCGGCGGAUGUCCAGGUUAAACAGAGCCACGGCGGCUGCCCGCUCCCACUCACGCUCCUGCUCCAGCGAUCGCAGAAAUAU
Long non-coding RNA from Perca fluviatilis (European perch), 570 nucleotides. RefSeq lists it as uncharacterized. The transcript is spliced from 4 exons. NCBI's taxonomy places the organism in Eukaryota, Metazoa, Chordata, Actinopteri, Perciformes, Percidae. The record is from RefSeq and is a predicted model, not a curated record.